RNAcentral lists this ribosomal RNA (359 nucleotides) under uncultured bacterium. Its description in RNAcentral is "bacterial SSU rRNA". It matches the Rfam family "Bacterial small subunit ribosomal RNA", at positions 1032 to 1392 of the family's 1533-position model. The record is from RNAcentral.
ACACAGGUGGUGCAUGGUUGUCGUCAGCUCGUGUCGUGAGAUGUUGGGUUAAGUCCCGCAACGAGCGCAACCCUUGCCUUUAGUUGCCAUCAUUAAGUUGGGCACUCUAGAGGGACUGCCGGGGAUAACCCGGAGGAAGGUGGGGAUGACGUCAAAUCAUCAUGCCCCUUAUGCUUAGGGCUACACACGUGCUACAAUGGGUGGUACAGAGGGCAGCCAAGCCGCGAGGCGGAGCUAAUCCCUUAAAGCCAUUCUCAGUUCGGAUUGUAGUCUGAAACUCGCCUCCAUGAAGCUGGAAUCACUAGUAAUCGCAGAUCACAAUGCUGCUGUGAAUGCGUUCCCGGGUCUUGUACACACCG